AAAGAUUAAGCCAUGCAUGUCUAUGCACACGCCCUUGAAUGGUGAAGCCGCGAAAAGCUCAUUACAACAGCCAUAGUUUAUUGGAUGUUUACGUUCCUACAAGGACACCUGCGGUAAUUCUGGAGCUAAUACUUGCGAAAUGCGACAACCUCACGGGAGUCGUGCAUUUAUUAGAUUAAACCAAUCGGUCCUUCGGGACCGCCAUUUGGUGAACUCUGAAUAACUCAGCUGAUCGCACAGUCUCGUACUGGCGACAAAUCUUUCAAGUGUCUGCCUUAUCAACUUUCGAUGGUAGUUUAUACGACUACCAUGGUUGUAACGGGUAACGGAGAAUAAGGGUUCGACUCCGGAGAGGGAGCCUGAGAAACGGCUACCACAUCCAAGGAAGGCAGCAGGCGCGCAAAUUACCCACUCGCAGAACGCGGAGGUAGUGACGAAAAAUAACGAGGUGGCUCUCUAUGAGGUCCAUCAUCGGAAUGGGUACAAUUUAAAUCCUUUAACGAGGAUCUAUUGGAGGGCAAGUCUGGUGCCAGCAGCCGCGGUAAUUCCAGCUCCAAUAGCGUAUACUAAAGUUGUUGCGGUUAAAAAGCUCGUAGUUGGAUCUGCGCUCGGUGAAAGCGGUCGCCCGAUGGGUUGUUACUGCUUCUCCCGGGCUAACCAUUCGGUUUUCCCUUGAUGCUCUUAACUGAGUGUCCUGGGUGACCGGAACGUUUACUUUGGAAAAAUUAGAGUGCUCAAAGCAGGCGAUUUGCCAGAAUAUUCGUGCAUGGAAUAAUAAAAGAGGUCCUUGUAGCCUUUUAUUGGUUAUCGCUACGAGGAAAUGAUCGAAGGGGACAGACGGGGGCAUUUGUAUUGCGACGUUAGAGGUGAAAUUCUUGGAUCGUCGCAAGACAAACUACUGCGAAAGCAUUUGCCAAGAAUG
This 922-nucleotide ribosomal RNA is filed under the name Trichodorus primitivus. RNAcentral's name for it is "SSU rRNA". It matches the Rfam family "Eukaryotic small subunit ribosomal RNA", at positions 39 to 966 of the family's 1831-position model. The record is from RNAcentral. Lineage: Eukaryota; Metazoa; Nematoda; Enoplea; Triplonchida; Trichodoridae.